Molecule: ribosomal RNA, 508 nt
Filed under: uncultured bacterium
Lineage: Bacteria
Description: partial 16S ribosomal RNA
Rfam family: Bacterial small subunit ribosomal RNA
Source: RNAcentral
AUUGAACGCUGGCGGCAUGCCUUACACAUGCAAGUCGAACGGCAGCGGGGGAGAAGCUUGCUUUUCCUGCCGGCGAGUGGCGAACGGGUGAGUAAUACAUCGGAACGUGCCCUGUAGUGGGGGAUAACUAGUCGAAAGAUUAGCUAAUACCGCAUACGACCUGAGGGUGAAAGUGGGGGACCGCAAGGCCUCAUGCUAUAGGAGCGGCCGAUGUCUGAUUAGCUAGUUGGUGGGGUAAAGGCCUACCAAGGCGACGAUCAGUAGCUGGUCUGAGAGGACGAUCAGCCACACUGGGACUGAGACACGGCCCAGACUCCUACGGGAGGCAGCAGUGGGGAAUUCUGGACAAUGGGCGAAAGCCUGAUCCAGCAAUGCCGCGUGUGUGAAGAAGGCCUUCGGGUUGUAAAGCACUUUUGUCCGGAAAGAAAUGGCUCUGGUUAAUACCUGGGGUCGAUGACGGUACCGGAAGGAUAAGGACCGGCUAACUACGUGCCAGCCGCCGCGGUAA